GAUGAACGCUAGCUACAGGCUUAACACAUGCAAGUCGAGGGGAAGCGGCAUCGAAAGCUUGCUUUUGAUGGGCGUCGACCGGCGCACGGGUGAGUAACGCGUAUCCAACCUGCCCAUCACUUGGGAAUAACCUUGCGAAAGUAAGACUAAUGCCCAAUGACAUCCCACGAAGGCAUCCGAAUGGGAUUAAAGAUUUAUCGGUGAUGGAUGGGGAUGCGUCUGAUUAGCUUGUUGGCGGGGUGACGGCCCACCAAGGCAACGAUCAGUAGGGGUUCUGAGAGGAAGGUCCCCCACAUUGGAACUGAGACACGGUCCAAACUCCUACGGGAGGCAGCAGUGAGGAAUAUUGGUCGAUGGGCGAGAGCCUGAACCAGCCAAGUAGCGUGCAGGAUGACGGCCCUGUGGGUUGUAAACUGCUUUUAUAAGGGAAUAAAGUGGGUCACGUGUGACUUUUUGCAUGUACCUUAUGAAUAAGGACCGGCUAAUUCCGUG
Molecule: ribosomal RNA, 492 nt
Filed under: uncultured bacterium
Lineage: Bacteria
Description: partial 16S ribosomal RNA
Rfam family: Bacterial small subunit ribosomal RNA
Source: RNAcentral